Molecule: ribosomal RNA, 773 nt
Filed under: uncultured bacterium
Lineage: Bacteria
Description: bacterial SSU rRNA
Rfam family: Bacterial small subunit ribosomal RNA
Source: RNAcentral
AGAGUUUGAUCAUGGCUCAGGACGAACGCUGGCGGCGUGCUUAACACAUGCAAGUCGAACGGAAAGGCCCUUCGGGGUACUCGAGUGGCGAACGGGUGAGUAACACGUGGGUGAUCUGCCCUGCACUUUGGGAUAAGCCUGGGAAACUGGGUUUAAUACCGAAUAGGACCACGCGCUUCAUGGUGUGUGGUGGAAAGCUUUUGCGGUGUGGGAUGGGCCCGCGGCCUAUCAGCUUGUUGGUGGGGUAAUGGCCUACCAAGGCGACGACGGGUAGCCGGCCUGAGAGGGUGACCGGCCACACUGGGACUGAGAUACGGCCCAGACUCCUACGGGAGGCAGCAGUGGGGAAUAUUGCACAAUGGGCGCAAGCCUGAUGCAGCGACGCCGCGUGAGGGAUGACGGCCUUCGGGUUGUAAACCUCUUUCAAUAGGGACGAAGCGCAAGUGACGGUACCUAUAGAAGAAGCACCGGCCAACUACGUGCCAGCAGCCGCGGUAAUACGUAGGGUGCGAGCGUUGUCCGGAAUUACUGGGCGUAAAGAGCUCGUAGGUGGUUUGUCGCGUUGUUCGUGAAAGCUCACAGCUUAACUGUGGGCGUGCGGGCGAUACGGGCAGACUAGAGUACUGCAGGGGAGACUGGAAUUCCUGGUGUAGCGGUGGAAUGCGCAGAUAUCAGGAGGAACACCGGUGGCGAAGGCGGGUCUCUGGGCAGUAACUGACGCUGAGGAGCGAAAGCGUGGGGAGCGAACAGGAUUAGAUACCCUGGUAGUCCAA